CAGAGGGGGCAAGCGUUGUUCGGAAUUACUGGGCGUAAAGGGCGCGUAGGCGGCCUGCUAAGUCGAACGUGAAAUCCCCGAGCUCAACUCGGGAACUGCGUCCGAUACUGACAGGCUUGAAUCCGGGAGAGGGAUGCGGAAUUCCAGGUGUAGCGGUGAAAUGCGUAGAUAUCUGGAGGAACACCGGUGGCGAAGGCGGCAUCCUGGACCGGCAUUGACGCUGAGGCGCGAAAGCUAGGGGAGCAAACGGGAUUAGAUACCCCGGUAGUCCUAGCCCUAAACGAUGAAUGCUUGGUGUGGCGGGUAUCGAUCCCUGCCGUGCCGAAGCUAACGCAUUAAGCAUUCCGCCUGGGGAGUACGGUCGCAAGGCUG
Molecule: ribosomal RNA, 372 nt
Filed under: uncultured organism
Description: bacterial SSU rRNA
Rfam family: Bacterial small subunit ribosomal RNA
Source: RNAcentral